AGCGUGCUUAACACAUGCAAGUCGAACGGAAAGGCCCUGCUUGCAGGAUACUCGAGUGGCGAACGGGUGAGUAACACGUGGGUGAUCUGCCCUGCACUUCGGGAUAAGCUUGGGAAACUGGGUCUAAUACCGGAUAGGAACCAUCUUUAGUGUGGUGGUUGGAAGGUUUUUUCGGUGUAGGAUGAGCUCGCGGCCUAUCAGCUUGUUGGUGGGGUAAUGGCCUACCAAGGCGGCGACGGGUAGCCGGCCUGAGAGGGUGUACGGCCACAUUGGGACUGAGAUACGGCCCAGACUCCUACGGGAGGCAGCAGUGGGGAAUAUUGCACAAUGGGCGCAAGCCUGAUGCAGCGACGCCGCGUGGGGGAUGAAGGCCUUCGGGUUGUAAACUCCUUUCGCUAGGGACGAAGCUUUUUGUGACGGUACCUAGAUAAGAAGCACCGGCUAACUACGUGCCAGCAGCCGCGGUAAUACGUAGGGUGCGAGCGUUGUCCGGAAUUACUGGGCGUAAAGGGCCCGUAGGUGGUUUGUCGCGUCGUCUGUGAAAUUCUGGGGCUUAACUCCGGGCGUGCAGGCGAUACGGGCAUAACUUGAGUGCUGUAGGGGUAACUGGAAUUCCUGGUGUAGCGGUGAAAUGCGCAGAUAUCAGGAGGAACACCGAUGGCGAGGGCAGGUUACUGGGCAGUUACUGACGCUGAGGAGCGAAAGCAUGGGUAGCGAACAGGAUUA
Molecule: ribosomal RNA, 726 nt
Filed under: uncultured Actinomycetales bacterium
Lineage: Bacteria; Bacillati; Actinomycetota; Actinomycetes; Actinomycetales
Description: bacterial SSU rRNA
Rfam family: Bacterial small subunit ribosomal RNA
Source: RNAcentral